UUUUUUUUUUUUUUGUCUUUUUUGCCAUUUCUUGGGCCGCUCCCGAGGCAUAUGGAGGUUCCCAGGCUAGGGGUCGAAUUGGAGCUGUAGUUGCCAGCCUAUGACAGAGCCACAGCAACGUGGGAUCCGAGCCACGUCUGCAACCCACACCACAGCUCAUGGCAACGCCGGAUCGUUAACCCACUGAGCAAGGGCAGGGACUGAACCUGCAACCUCAUGGUUCCUAGUCGGAUUCGUUAACCACUGCGCCACGAAGGGAACUCCAUUUUUUUUUUUUUUCCCACACCUAUAGCAUAUGGAAGUUUCCAGGCUAGGGUUGAAUCAGAGCUGCAGCUGGACCUUGGCCACAGCCACAGCAACUCAGAAUCUGAGCCAAGUCUGCAACCUACACCACAGCUCUUAGCAACGCCAGAUCUUUAACCCACUGAGUGAGGCCAGGAAUCGAACCCUCAUCCUCACUGAUACUAGUUAGGUUCUUGGCCUACUAAGCCACAACAGGAACUCCCACAGAACUGUUUAAAUAAAUGUGUCAGCCUGCUACCUGUGUGAGAUAGCCUCUGUACCUUCUUUGGGUCCAACCUUGCUCUGCUCUGUUUGGGAAGCUGACCUCUGCAGGCUGCCUCAAUCAGCUCCGGCUCCCUUGCCCUCUGGCUUUUGCAGGUUGAGCUGAGAGGGUUGGAAGGUAGUGUUUAUGCCUCUGGCCAUGCCCUGACCACCCCACCCCCAGUUGGCUGUGGCUGCAUCCACUUGCUGUCAAACUUGCAGGUCUGGUCAGGCAGACCUUCUCGUAUAGCUAACAGUUUCAUCUUCUUGCCCCUUGUGAUGAGAAAAACAACUUUUUGAAAAGCAGCUUUUGUUUUUCUGAGUUGCAGCCUAGGAUAGGCAUUUUACAGUGUGAUAACCCUGUUCACACCCAGAGUCUGGACAUUCUUGUUUGUUUGCUUGCUUUUUAGGGCUGCACCCUCGCCAUAUGGAAGUUCCCAGGCUGGGGGUUGAAUUGGAACUGCAGCUACCAGCCUACACCACAGCCACAGCAAUGCCAGAUCCGAGCCAUGUCUGUGACCUACACUGCGCCUGCGACCUACACCUCAGCUCAUAGCAAUGUCACUGGAUCCUUAACCCCCUGAGUGAGGCCAGGGAUAGAACCCGCAUCUUCAUGGAUACUAGUUGGGUCAUUACCACUGAGCCACAGCAGGAACUCCUGGACAUUUUAAGUAUGGACUUGAGUUUAUGAUGCCCACCUGAAGUUCCAGCUUACCAAGCAGCUUUAAAAUAACCCAAUAAGAUUAAGCUCUGGAAAACUUAGUGACCUCCAUCCUGACCACCUUCUAAGUAAUAGACGUUUGCUCGCGCUCUCUCUUUCCUGCUUGCUCAUGACUUGGGGUAGAGGACUGUCCUUCUCCUGGCUCACUGCACACCGCCCCCUUCCCCCAGCUUCCAGAAUCUUCUACAUAAUAAAUCUUGUGACUUUGCUUCCUUCGUGUGGGUGUAUUGAAACUUGCCUUACAUCAAAAGGACCCCAUGGGUUUCACUUCGACUUUGUAGCAGCUCAGAUGCGCCACCCCACCCGCCUCCACCUGAUGGCCUGAGCCUCCUCCUUAAGCAGGUGUAAUCUGCAUAUUCCUAAUUCAAUACACCAGCUCCUGCUUCUCAGUGCAUCCCUUCAGGUCUAGGAUCGACCAUGGCUCCCAGACAUUGCAAGUCCCUGGCAUUUUACCAUCUCCUGUUGGCUCCUUUACUUGUGCCCAUCCCUUCCUAAACAACCCCUCCACUGAGCCCUCCUAACUUUCCCCUCCACAGGCCAUUUGUUCCCUGCUAGGAAGGCUGCAGGGUCAAACACGCGGCUCAGAUCCCGCGUUGCUGUGGCUGUGGUGUAGGUUUCGGGUUUGUUACCGCUGAGCCCCGAUGGGAACUCCAGCAGUGGACUCUCUGUUUCCCUUUCCUGGCAGUUAUUUGCACUUGGAACCGAGACCUUCCAUGCCUUUUUUCAGAGAAAAGAGUCGGAGAGUAAACUCCACGUGUGCCCACAGGUGGGGAAGUGACUUCUGAAUGGGAAGUCCUGCUUCUUUACAGGACAAUCGGCUCAUGUUGCCAUCUCUUCUCAUGAAGAAAGGACAAACCUUGUUAUCCACGUCAGGAAAGUCCUUGUGCAGAAGGCUGAGGGGAAAAAAAUUUCCAAGGACAAAUUUUUUUUUCCCACUCCCUGGGAAACCCAACCUCCCCAACUUCCUCCAUUUUUCAGCUGCUUGGUACAAGUCAAUGCUUCCCUGAGGUUGUUUUCAGCUGAAAGGCUGAAAGCACCACAGCAGAGGGAAAGGGAAAUAAUUCUUUCCUUGCAUUCCUGUGUUAGUCUGGUUGAGGGGGGAGAGGGGGAGAAAACUGCCAAAAAGUUUAGUAACUUUCAGUCCAGUUCCAGGUGUUUGUUUUCAUUCAGAGAGGUUGGCAGCUGCUCUCUUGCUCUCUUGCUCAAUCCUUCCCCCUGCAUUCCAUCAGACUUCUUGUUUCCCAUCCAAAGGGCUCAGUUCCACUUUGAGCAAUUUCUGUUUUCUACUCUCUAAUCUCUUCACCCUGAAACUAUGGACACUAGUUCACCUGAGAGGCUCUUGGUUACCCCUGCUGCAGCCCCACACCGCCUUUCUCAGCAUCUGGCUCAUAAAUUAAUCUGUCCUUCAAGUCUAACUCAAUUCU
This 2688-nucleotide long non-coding RNA is filed under the name Sus scrofa (pig). Its description in RNAcentral is "lncRNA (ENSSSCG00040000398.1)". The record is from RNAcentral. Lineage: Eukaryota; Metazoa; Chordata; Mammalia; Artiodactyla; Suidae.